AUUGAACGCUGGCGACAUGCCUUACACAUGCAAGUCGAACGGCAGCACGGGUGCUUGCACCUGGUGGCGAGUGGCGAACGGGUGAGUAAUACAUCGGAACAUGUCCUGUAGUGGGGGAUAGCCCGGCGAAAGCCGGAUUAAUACCGCAUACGAUCUACGGAUGAAAGCGGGGGACCUUCGGGCCUCGCGCUAUAGGGUUGGCCGAUGGCUGAUUAGCUAGUUGGUGGGGUAAAGGCCUACCAAGGCGACGAUCAGUAGCUGGUCUGAGAGGACGACCAGCAACGUGGGGAUGGAGACGCGCCCCAGAUCCCAGGGGGGGGAGGGGGGGGGAAAUUUUGGACAAGGGGGAGAGGCCUGAUCCAGAAGGGCCGGGUGGGUAAAGAAGGCCUUGGGGUGGAAAAGAAUUUUUGCCCGAAAAGAAAUCCUGGGCCCUAAUAGGGGGGGGGGAGGGCGGUGCGGAAAAAAAAAACCCGGGCUAACUCCGUG
RNAcentral lists this ribosomal RNA (486 nucleotides) under uncultured bacterium. RNAcentral describes it as "partial 16S ribosomal RNA". It matches the Rfam family "Bacterial small subunit ribosomal RNA", at positions 29 to 507 of the family's 1533-position model. The record is from RNAcentral.